CGUAUGGUUCUAUUUUGUUGGUUUCUAGGACCAUCGUAAUGAUUAAUAGGGACGGUCGGGGGCAUCAGUAUUCAGUUGUCAGAGGUGAAAUUCUUGGAUUAACUGAAGACUAACUACUGCGAAAGCAUUUGCCAAGGACGUUUUCAUUAAUCAAGAACGAAAGUUAGGGGAUCGAAGAUGGUCAGAUACCGUCGUAGUCUUAACCAUAAACUAUGCCGACUAGGGAUCGGGUGGCGCUACUUUGCCCACUCGGCAUCUUACGAGAAAUCAAAGUUUUUGGGUUCUGGGGGGAGUAUGGUUGCAAGGCUGAAACUUAAAGGAAUUGACGGAAGGGCACCACCAGGAGUGGAGCCUGCGGCUUAAUUUGACUCAACACGGGGAAACUCACCAGGUCCAGACGUAAUAAGGAUUGACAAGUUAGAGACUUCUCUUGAUCUUACGGGUGGUGGUGCAUGGCCGUUUUUAGUCCUUGGAGUGAUUUGUCUGCUUAAUUGCGAUAACGGACGAGACCUUAACCUGCUAAAUAGGGCUGCGAGCAUCUGCUCGUGGGCUCUUCUUAGAGGGACUAUGGGUAUCAAACCCAUGGAAGUUUGAGGCAACAACAGGUCUGUGAUGCCCUUAGACGUUCUGGGCCGCACGCGCGCUACACUGACGGAGCCAGCAAGUACAACCUUGGUCGAGAGGCCCAGGUAAUCUCGUGAAACUCCGUCGUGC
Molecule: ribosomal RNA, 714 nt
Filed under: uncultured fungus
Lineage: Eukaryota; Fungi
Description: SSU rRNA
Rfam family: Eukaryotic small subunit ribosomal RNA
Source: RNAcentral